GCGUGAGUGAAGAAGGGUUUCGGCUCGUAAAGCUCUGUUGUUAAAGAAGAACGUGGGUAAGAGUAACUGUUUACCCAGUGACGGUAUUUAACCAGAAAGCCACGGCUAACUACGUGCCAGCAGCCGCGGUAAUACGUAGGUGGCAAGCGUUAUCCGGAUUUAUUGGGCGUAAAGCGAGCGCAGGCGGUCUUUUAAGUCUAAUGUGAAAGCCUUCGGCUCAACCGAAGAAGUGCAUUGGAAACUGGGAGACUUGAGUGCAGAAGAGGACAGUGGAACUCCAUGUGUAGCGGUGAAAUGCGUAGAUAUAUGGAAGAACACCAGUGGCGAAGGCGGCUGUCUGGUCUGCAACUGACGCUGAGGCUCGAAAGCAUGGGUAGCGAACAGGAUUAGAUACCCUGGUAGUCCAUGCCGUAAACGAUGAUUACUAAGUGUUGGAGGGUUUCCGCCCUUCAGUGCUGCAGCUAACGCAUUAAGUAAUCCGCCUGGGGAGUACGACCGCAAGGUUGAAACUCAAAAGAAUUGACGGGGGCCCGCACAAGCGGUGGAGCAUGUGGUUUAAUUCGAAGCUACGCGAAGAACCUUACCAGGUCUUGACAUCUUCUGACAGUCUAAGAGAUUAGAGGUUCCCUUCGGGGACAGAAUGACAGGUGGUGCAUGGUUGUCGUCAGCUCGUGUCGUGAGAUGUUGGGUUAAGUCCCGCAACGAGCGCAACCCUUAUUACUAGUUGCCAGCAUUAAGUUGGGCACUCUAGUGAGACUGCCGGUGACAAACCGGAGGAAGGUGGGGACGACGUCAAAUCAUCAUGCCCCUUAUGACCUGGGCUACACACGUGCUACAAUGGAUGGUACAACGAGUCGCGAGACCGCGAGGUUAAGCUAAUCUCUUAAAACCAUUCUCAGUUCGGACUGUAGGCUGCAACUCGCCUACACGAAGUCGGAAUCGCUAGUAAUCGCGG
This 955-nucleotide ribosomal RNA is filed under the name Pediococcus pentosaceus. RNAcentral's name for it is "bacterial SSU rRNA". It matches the Rfam family "Bacterial small subunit ribosomal RNA", at positions 399 to 1347 of the family's 1533-position model. The record is from RNAcentral. Lineage: Bacteria; Bacillati; Bacillota; Bacilli; Lactobacillales; Lactobacillaceae.